This is a long non-coding RNA of Balaenoptera acutorostrata (minke whale), 3845 nucleotides long. RefSeq lists it as uncharacterized. NCBI's taxonomy places the organism in Eukaryota, Metazoa, Chordata, Mammalia, Artiodactyla, Balaenopteridae. The record is from RefSeq and is a predicted model, not a curated record. The transcript has 2 exons.
CCUCCGCCGCCGCCUGGAAUUUUCCAGACGCUCUGCCGGCCCUUCUUUCGGGCUGCUUCUGGGCGGGGUGACCUGAGGCGACCCCAGAAGUUUCCUUCGACUCGAGAGAACAGCCCCAGCCCGCCUCCGCCAUCUAGCCCCCCCCCGCUCCAGGACCGGAAGCACUUGCUAAGGAGAGUGGGGGAUAAUUGGAGAAUCCGAGAAGGUGGACACCCCGGAAGAACGGGAGCCGCCCCGAAUCGUCUCCUUGGCCAGGGUCGGGGAGGGACUUUUUUUCCGGUGGCAGUGGAGGAGUCGUCCCGUUGAGCAAUGCCCCGGGUAACGCGGCCCAGCCUAUAAAAGCAAAGGUUGUGGCCCGUCCAGCAGGAGUUAGCGAAAGGGAGGGCCGGGGGCCUGGGCUUAGUUUUGGGGGAGGAGUUGGCCAGUUUAGGGUCUCAGGGGACAGGUGGGGGAGAUGGCAGGGUUAGAUGGGACUGGGGGGGUAGGGGUGCCAGGAGAAGGAGGGGUGCCAGGAGAAGGAAGGUUAAAGGGGAGACUAGAUGUUGGGGGAACUGUGCUGGGAAGAGCUGCGUCGGAAGUGCCGACAGUAACCCGGGGGAAGGGCAACACCCCAGGCCUGGCUGUCGCAGCUGCCUGCUGGUGAAGGGGAGCCUGACCUCUAGAAGGGCGCCGCUCCUUUGUAGGCUGAGCGGCCCCCAGUGCCCUGGUUUGUAUGGAAGGAGGAAGGCAGAGAGACAGGAGGAGGAGGCUGAUGGUCUCGCGGCCCUUGCUGGAGGCACACUUGGGCAGUCGACGCCCUGAAAAUGAGCAGGAAGGAAGGCAGUGGGGUACAGGGACGCAGAUGGGCAGGGAGGGCAGAACUUGAACUUGUCAAUACCAGCAGCCCCCUUUUUUUCCAGACAGAGGGUUGUGAACCCGCCUGGGGAUGAGGCCUGGUGUUGUGGAAACUGAACUUAGCUUCGCGGGGCUGACAGUUCUGGCCCAGGGCGGUAUGUAAUUCUGGCUCGGCCUGGGACAUGGUCCAGCCAGACCCAGCUGGGUGGAACCCAGGUCUGGGUGUGAGGGUGGUCUAGGGAGUGAUGGAGGUCAGGUGCCAUCCUGAGCGGUUACUGGUAUGGCGCCUCGUGUAUCUGACAGGCGGGAGCUGUAGGCAGACAAAAUUGACGCCCACUUUAUUUUCCAGGUGGCAGUGCACCCCUUUGGACUUUUCCUCUAGGUUCCAUGCUUACCUCUUCUGUGACCUCACUCUGCCCCUCCUCCUCCCUCUAACUCUCUCGAGGUUACCCCUUCACUUAAAACGUUGCUUCUGGUAAUCUGGUAAGCCGGGAAAGUUGCUGGAGUCCCUGCCGGAGUCGGUGUUGUCGGUAAUCGUGAAGGAGGAGAGGCGUCCCCAGCGGAGACUCUGGGUGGGCGGGUUGGUCUUGCUUGCCGGUGGAGAGGGUGGGGAUUGAAGGUGCACCCUUGGGUGGACCCACAGCGAUGGUACUAGCUGAACGCUACAAAAAUGCUUCAUAGACCGCGGUUUGUUACUGUAGUGUUCAUCAUGACGAGCUGACGGCACCAGGAGAAUGGAGCCCCUGGCCAGUGUGCGUCGUAGCAGUGCAGGAGGGGCGACCCUGGAGGAGGAGAGAGCCCGCCUAAAUUGAUGUCUGCAGAUUGAAUUUCCAGAGGCUUAGGAGGAGGAGGAGUUCUCCAAUGUCCUGUUUCCAGGCCUUGCUCAGGAAUCCCUGUAUUCAUUCAGGAGACCAUCCUUUAAGGUUUUCAGAUGAGCUUGUGAGGGGGCAAUCUUUAAAAGUCCAAAGCAGAUGCAUCCGGGGCCUUCAGCAGAUGUGUUGCUUUGAGUGUGUGAUCCAGGAGCAGCGAUCUCUGGGCACAUGGAUGCCAGCAGGCACCUCUCCUGUUCUGGGGUGGAGGUUUUCAGAUGCUGCAUCUUCUAAAUUCAGCUUCCUGUUGUACUAGUUUUGUGCUACGAACCUUGCUUCCAGAGGACUCUUAAGCUGUAGAACAUUUUAACGCGAUGCCACAACACAGAGUGCUGCCUUGUAGAUGGAGCUUGCAGAUGGAUCCCAGUGACCCUCUCAUCUACCCGCCUGCCUUCCUGUGCAUUGGUCGGAGGAAUUCUUAGUGUGAUGAUAAUCUGUGUGUUGGGAAAGUGUUCAAGAUUGAAAUGAAUGCCUUAGGCAAAUACUUAAGUGAGCCAACUGGCAAAUUGAGGGGGUCAUUGUACUGUGCUGGAGGUACGAGUUGGUCAUGCCCAAAUUGUGAUAGAAAUGGCUGGUCUAGUUUGGGCAUUCCUACUAAGAAGGGAGUGGUCAGGGUACCCAUAGUGAUCUUUGACUCAUCUUGCUCUAUGUACUUUUUAACUUCAAUUUUACUUGAUUAGAUUUCAGAGUAAUCUUAGUGUUUAAAUGGGAGGACCCUGAGGUGAGGGGUGGUGGGGAGGGAAAAGCCUGCCACAGGUGCUGGGAGGGGUGGGCGUGAAGAAAGGGAGAAGGGGGGGAGGGCUGUGGUUAGGUGUGGGUUGUAGUAGAGGGUGGGAGUGGUAGGGGGGAAUGUGGGUUGAAGGGAAUUCUCUGGAGAAAAGAUCAGUAGGCAGAGCUUUGGGGAAUUAUAGAGCUCAUGGGCGAAGAAAAUACUAGUUAAUAGUAAAUUGUUAAUGCUAGUUAAAUUGUUGCUUGGAAGCACAAAAAAAAGUUGCUUGGAAACUUUCUAAAAUGCUUAGAACUCUGCUAAGUGCAGGAGAAAAAGCAAAAUUGUUUUGCUUUGCUGCAAGAUGGGGAAGACUGAAAAGGUAACUGAAGACCUGGUCAUUGGUGAUUUGAAAGAUUGGUGUCAGGAACUUGCAUCAGCAGGUUAACAUCCUUCACUGCUUUCAAGCUUAAGUGGUUUAUCUGGAGGUGUGUGGUAUUUGGGAGAGGUCUUCGAAAAGACUUCAGAUACCCAUAUUGUGGGCUUUUAAAGUAAGCUUGAGAUUUUGGAGUGCACUUAAGAUGGUGAGAUGUACUCUUCUGGGUUUGCAACAUUUUUAUUCACUGAGGUUUUGCAGUUGAAAACUUGAGCAAAGUGAAAAUGCAAUGAAUUCUAAAGGAAUUUUGUGUUACUUUCUGCCUUAUAAGCACAUCUCUUUUUUUCUUUGUGAUGAGUAUUAGAAACAGCAAGAGUUUUUAGUUUUCGUCGUCAUUGUAACAAGGAGAACUUAAUGACUUUUUGUGAUCACUGUAAAAUUACUGUAAUAUUUGGUAGCAAACAAUCCAUGUAGGCUUGCUAAGGUUACAGUUAGUAAUCCACUGUAUCUUUAGUUUGAAUGUUUGUGUUUUUUAAGUGAUAACCGUACUAGAGGGGAAACUAUCAACCAAAAUCAGUUUGGGAAAUAAGCAAAACUGGGGAUGGGGAGGUGCUUUAUUACUAGAUUAUGGUCUGUGAAAAUUCAGGGAAAGAUCUGAAUCCUUUGUGAUAAAGUAAUACCAGUGGCUUUUUUAUCAUGUUCCUCUUCCCAUUGAAUUUCACUUUGAAAAUUUUAAAUCCCCAAUAUUUAUGACACUUGGGAUCUUUCUGGGUUCUCUUUUUAAUGUUUAAAAAUAUGUUGACAUGAUAGUUCAGUUCUUAACCCGUGAUUUGGGCAUGAUACAGUAACUGUCAUUGGAAUUUAAAGAAUACUAGUCAUGCAUGUAUGGGGAAAUGUGUUCCAGUAAGCUGUUGUGAAAUUGAAACUGUAAAAGUAGGAGGAAAAAGUACUUUUAUGUUGCUCUGUAUGGGAAGAACCAGUCUUGUUACACCAUGUAUGUGACUACUAAUCGUUUUUCUUCCCCUUUACAGCAUGAAUAAAGGUUUGAGUUCUAAACUCA